GAUGAACGCUAGCGGCAGGCUUAAUACAUGCAAGUCGAGGGGCAGCAGGACUGUAGCAAUACAGUUGCUGGCGACCGGCAAACGGGUGCGGAACGCGUACGCAACCUACCCAAAACUGGGGGAUAGCCCGGGGAAACCCGGAUUAAUACCUCGUAACCUUUUUAAGUGGCAUCACUUGAUAAGUAUAGCUCCGGCGGUUUUGGAUGGGCGUGCGCCUGAUUAGGUAGUUGGUGCGGGUAACGGCCCACCAAGCCUGCGAUCAGUAACUGGUGUGAGAGCACGACCAGUCACACGGGCACUGAGACACGGGCCCGACUCCUACGGGAGGCAGCAGUAAGGAAUAUUGGUCAAUGGACGCAAGUCUGAACCAGCCAUGCCGCGUGAAGGAUGAAGGUCCUCUGGAUUGUAAACUUCUUUUAUGGGGGACGAAACCCGGAUAUUCUUAUCCGAUUGACGGUACCUCAGGAAUAAGCACCGGCUAACUCCGUG
This 489-nucleotide ribosomal RNA is filed under the name uncultured bacterium. RNAcentral's name for it is "partial 16S ribosomal RNA". It matches the Rfam family "Bacterial small subunit ribosomal RNA", at positions 28 to 507 of the family's 1533-position model. The record is from RNAcentral.